This 245-nucleotide ribosomal RNA is filed under the name uncultured Lachnospiraceae bacterium. RNAcentral describes it as "partial 16S ribosomal RNA". It matches the Rfam family "Bacterial small subunit ribosomal RNA", at positions 524 to 768 of the family's 1533-position model. Lineage: Bacteria; Bacillati; Bacillota; Clostridia; Lachnospirales; Lachnospiraceae. The record is from RNAcentral.
UACGUAGGGGGCAAGCGUUAUCCGGAUUUACUGGGUGUAAAGGGAGCGUAGACGGACCUGCAAGUCUGAUGUGAAAACCCGCGGCUCAACUGCGGGACUGCAUUGGAAACUGCAGAUCUGGAGUAUCGGAGAGGCAAGCGGAAUUCCUGGUGUAGCGGUGAAAUGCGUAGAUAUCAGGAGGAACACCGGUGGCGAAGGCGGCUUGCUGGACGAUAACUGACGUUGAGGCUCGAAAGCGUGGGGAG